GUCCGGUUAGCUCAGUUGGUUAGAGCGUGGUGCUGAUAACACCAAGGUUGUGGGUUCGAUCCAUGCUUGGUC
This 72-nucleotide transfer RNA is filed under the name Apaloderma vittatum (bar-tailed trogon). It matches the Rfam family "tRNA". Rfam says of the family: Transfer RNA (tRNA) molecules are approximately 80 nucleotides in length. Their secondary structure includes four short double-helical elements and three loops (D, anti-codon, and T loops). Further hydrogen bonds mediate the characteristic L-shaped molecular structure. tRNAs have two regions of fundamental functional importance: the anti-codon, which is responsible for specific mRNA codon recognition, and the 3' end, to which the tRNAs corresponding amino acid is attached (by aminoacyl-tRNA synthetases). tRNAs cope with the degeneracy of the genetic code in two manners: having more than one tRNA (with a specific anti-codon) for a particular amino acid; and 'wobble' base-pairing, i.e. permitting non-standard base-pairing at the 3rd anti-codon position. Lineage: Eukaryota; Metazoa; Chordata; Aves; Trogoniformes; Trogonidae. The record is from Rfam by way of RNAcentral.